GGAAUCACCUUUAGAUGCGAUUUUAUGGAGUGUGAGGAGCUAAUCGCCUUCAUGCCUGUAUAUUCGUAUACUUGGGGUGUACUUAUUCGUGUGGUAAGUUAACAUCAAUUUUGGUUGUCAUAAAAUGAUUGGAGGAAUGUAGCUUCGAUCUUGUAUUGAAGUGUUAUAGCCUUCGGUAGAUGUGACGAUCGGGAUUGAGGAUUGCAACGGAUACCCUUCGGGGCUACCUGUCUGAUCUCUGAUUGUUGCUCUGGUGCUGAAAGCUUGCUUAUAGUAUCAAAGUCGAUGGUCAAUAGGUUAGAAUGGGUUAAAUUCGUUAAGGAUGUUGACGUA
RNAcentral lists this ribosomal RNA (333 nucleotides) under uncultured Glomeromycotina. Its description in RNAcentral is "LSU rRNA". The record is from RNAcentral. Lineage: Eukaryota; Fungi; Glomeromycota.